RNAcentral lists this ribosomal RNA (460 nucleotides) under uncultured bacterium. Its description in RNAcentral is "partial 16S ribosomal RNA". It matches the Rfam family "Bacterial small subunit ribosomal RNA", at positions 338 to 795 of the family's 1533-position model. The record is from RNAcentral.
CCUACGGGUGGCAGCAGUGAGGAAUAUUGGUCAAUGGCCGGAAGGCUGAACCAGCCAAGUCGCGUGAGGGAAUAAGGCCCUAUGGGUCGUAAACCUCUUUUGUCGGGGAGCAAAGGCGUCCACGUGUGGACGAGAGGCGAUUACCUGAGGAAAAAGCAUCGGCUAACUCCGUCCCAGCAGCCGCGGUAAUCCGGAGGAUGCGAGCGUUAUCCGGAUUUAUUGGGUUUAAAGGGUGGGUAGUCGGAGUUUCAAGCCAGCGGUAAAAUUGUGGGGCUCACCCCCGUCGUGCCGUUGAACCUGACGUCCUUGAGUGAGUGAGAAGUAAGCGGAAUGCGUGGUGUAGCGGUGAAAUGCAUAGAUAUCACGCAGAACGCCGAUUGCGAAGGCAGCUUACCGGCGCUCAACUGACGCUGAGGCACGAAAGUGCGGGUAUCGAACAGGAUUAGAUACCCUAGUAGUC